Molecule: ribosomal RNA, 253 nt
Filed under: uncultured bacterium
Lineage: Bacteria
Description: partial 16S ribosomal RNA
Rfam family: Bacterial small subunit ribosomal RNA
Source: RNAcentral
UACGGGGGGGGCAAGCGUUGUUCGGAAUUACUGGGCGUAAAGGGUUCGUAGGUGGCUUGUUAAGUCAGACGUGAAAUCCCUCAGCUUAACUGGGGAACUGCGUCUGAUACUGGCGAGCUUGAGUGCAGGAGAGGAACGCAGAAUUCCAGGUGUAGCGGUGAAAUGCGUAGAUAUCUGGAGGAAUACCGGUGGCGAAGGCGGCGUUCUGGACUGCAACUGACACUGAUGAACGAAAGCCAGGGGAGCAAACGGG